AUUGAACGCUGGCGGCAGGCCUAACACAUGCAAGUCGAGCGAGCGGCGGACGGGUGAGUAAUGUCUGGGAAACUGCCCGAUGGAGGGGGAUAACUACUGGAAACGGUAGCUAAUACCGCAUACCAUCAGAUGUGCCCAGAUGGGCUUAGCUGGUAGGUGGGGUAACGGCUCACCUAGGCGACGAUCCCUAGCUGGUUUGAGCGGAUGACCAGCCACACGUGAACUGAGAUACGGUCCAGACUCCUACGGGAGGCAGCAGUGGGGAAUAUUGCACAGUGGGCGCAAGCCGGAUGCAGCCAUGCCGCGUGUGUGGAGAAGGCCUUCGGGUUGUAAAGUACUUUCAGCGGGGAGGCGUUACCCGCAGAAGAAGCACCGGCUAACUCCGUGACAGCAGCCGCGGUAAUAC
This 406-nucleotide ribosomal RNA is filed under the name uncultured bacterium. Its description in RNAcentral is "partial 16S ribosomal RNA". It matches the Rfam family "Bacterial small subunit ribosomal RNA", at positions 30 to 526 of the family's 1533-position model. The record is from RNAcentral.